AACGAACGCUGGCGGCAUGCCUAACACAUGCAAGUCGAACGAGAUCUUCGGGUCUAGUGGCGCACGGGUGCGUAACGCGUGGGAAUCUGCCCUUUGGUUCGGAAUAACAGUUGGAAACGACUGCUAAUACCGGAUGAUGACGAAAGUCCAAAGAUUUAUCGCCAGAGGAUGAGCCCGCGUAGGAUUAGCUAGUUGGUGUGGUAAAGGCGCACCAAGGCGACGAUCCUUAGCUGGUCUGAGAGGAUGAUCAGCCACACUGGGACUGAGACACGGCCCAGACUCCUACGGGAGGCAGCAGUGGGGAAUAUUGGACAAUGGGCGAAAGCCUGAUCCAGCAAUGCCGCGUGAGUGAUGAAGGCCUUAGGGUUGUAAAGCUCUUUUACCCGGGAUGAUAAUGACAGUACCGGGAGAAUAAGCCACGGCAAACUUCGUGCCAGCCGCCGCGGUAA
RNAcentral lists this ribosomal RNA (449 nucleotides) under uncultured bacterium. RNAcentral's name for it is "partial 16S ribosomal RNA". It matches the Rfam family "Bacterial small subunit ribosomal RNA", at positions 29 to 523 of the family's 1533-position model. The record is from RNAcentral.